Anopheles gambiae str. PEST is the source of this 193-nucleotide non-coding RNA. It matches the Rfam family "drz-agam-2-2 ribozyme". Lineage: Eukaryota; Metazoa; Arthropoda; Insecta; Diptera; Culicidae. The record is from Rfam.
AUUAGUUAUGCUCUGCAAUGGGAUGGGAUGCGAAACCCCUCAAGGGAUAAUACAGGUUCUCCCAUCCAACUCCUAUUCCGACACGUCCUCGUCGUGCAGAGUGGCAACGUGUGCCAUCACUUAUCCAAGUUUGGGUACACGGGCUUGACCCAACCCCUUGGGCGGAUGGUGGGAUAUGGCGAACCAAGAGGGG